UUGUCCCUGUUGGUCAGAAGGGUUCUGCUUUAGAUGCUUUCCCAACUUCUGAUCCACCACCUACUUCUGUCUCGCCACCAUUCUCCGUCGAACAAGAGCAAUGUGUAUGCUCCCCCUGAUCAACAAAAUCAAGGGACCAUAGAAAAUGCCUUUCCUUGAAACAAGGUAAAUAAGUGUUACCUUUACAGUUUCAGAUGAAUUCUACUUACUCUCCAAACCAGUUGGGGUAUACAAUUACUUGAAACAGUUGGCUACGAAUAAGGACUAAAGAAAAAUGAAUACUCUCUCUGCCGAGUGAUUAAUCAACAAUAGUAUGUAUCCUUUUGCUCAGGUGCCAUUCAGUUUCCUUUUUUCUUAUUUUCACUUAUUUUUCACCAACGUUGAUAUUUUUAAAUUAACCUUACAGUGUAACCUUCUUGCCUCCAAGGGCUUGCAAAUGAUGAUAAUUAUCAAGGAGCCGCUUCAAACUGAGCGG
This 475-nucleotide long non-coding RNA is filed under the name Nicotiana tabacum (common tobacco). Its description in RNAcentral is "long non-coding RNA (NTAB_LNC012222)". The record is from RNAcentral. Lineage: Eukaryota; Viridiplantae; Streptophyta; Magnoliopsida; Solanales; Solanaceae.